RNAcentral lists this ribosomal RNA (468 nucleotides) under uncultured bacterium. Its description in RNAcentral is "partial 16S ribosomal RNA". It matches the Rfam family "Bacterial small subunit ribosomal RNA", at positions 28 to 507 of the family's 1533-position model. The record is from RNAcentral.
GACGAACGCUGGCGGCGUGCUUAACACAUGCAAGUCGAACGGAAAGGCCCUGCUUUUGUGGGGUGCUCGAGUGGCGAAAGGGUGAGUAACACGUGAGUAACCUGCCCUUGACUUUGGGAUAACUUCAGGUAACUGGGGCUAAUAUCGGAUAGGAGCUCCUGCUGCAUGGUGGGGGUUGGAAAGUUUGGGCGGUUGGGGAUGGACUCGCGGCUUAUCAGCUUGUUGGUGGGGUAGUGGCUUACCAAGGCUUUGACGGGUAGCCGGCCUGAGAGGGUGACCGGCCACAUUGGGACUGAGAUACGGCCCAGACUCCUACGGGAGGCAGCAGUGGGGAAGAUUGCACAAUGGGCGGAAGCCUGAUGCAGCAACGCCGCGUGCGGGAUGACGGCCUUCGGGUUGUAAACCGCUUUCGCCUGUGACGAAGCGUGAGUGACGGUAAUGGGUAAAGAAGCACCGGCUAACUACGUG